This 996-nucleotide long non-coding RNA is filed under the name Eutrema salsugineum. RNAcentral's name for it is "long non-coding RNA (ESAL_LNC001287)". The record is from RNAcentral. Lineage: Eukaryota; Viridiplantae; Streptophyta; Magnoliopsida; Brassicales; Brassicaceae.
CAUUACUCCAUGUUCGAAAUAUGCUAAGAUCUAUGAGUUUUUGUAAGGGUUAGUCAAUUAGAUAAUCAUAUUAUUGGUAUGCUGCACACACAAUAAUAUACUUCAAACCUUUCUCCGUUACAAACACUUAACAUAAAAUAGUGCAUUUGAUAGCCAGGAAAAAAAUGACUUGCCUUUCGAUCGAGACACCUUUAGAGAUGUAAUGUGGGAUACACGAAACAUAGGUGGAUAAUCUUCGAUACUUAUGCUCUAUACUAAACCCUAAACAUAUAAUUGAUACAAGACUAUAAUGACCAGUCCCACUUAGGUGAUAACAGUCCACUGAUCAGAACUUAAGUCCGAUCUAAGUAGAUUAUGAUCCGAACAUGAACUUAAUACCGAAAAUCCCACCCAUGCCUAGAUAAUCUCGUGAUCUUCACUUCUCAAUAUGGUUUAGCCUGAAAUUAAUCUGCAGUUAUAUAUUAAUUAUCAUUUGAUCGCAUUUUAUGGUUUGUAUAUGUAUAUAACUUUAUCAGAGAAUCAUAUACUCCAUGUCUAUAAGAGAUUUAAAGAAUGAGAUCAGAAUGAUUGCAUAAUUAAGGUACCAUGGCUUAAAUGAAGUCGGACUGUCAAGCCAGAUGCUACUGUCCAGCCUCCAUACUUGGACGACCGAUCUCAUUAAAGAUCGAUCGGCUUAUUUAUUGACUAUUUAAUAAGGAGAUCUUCGUUCUUUUUUUUUCUUCAGUUUCUCAUGAGCUUGAUCUGCAUCUCUAUGGAGUAUAUAUACAUCCUUUUCUUUUUAUAAGCAGAGCACAAGGUAAUUAUAACAUUUAAAAAAAGAUGAUAAAGAAGCCACAAUAACUAAGAGAAAGACGUUGUGUCUUUUGGAUUAUUGACACGAAAGGAGCAAAGCAACCUAAUUUCAAAGUACGAACGUACCGUCGGAUUGUUGACACGGAGAAAAGUUGGCCCACGUGUUUGGAGUUGAACGUUUUUAGCAUGAGACAAUGAUUUUUG